Molecule: ribosomal RNA, 500 nt
Filed under: uncultured bacterium
Lineage: Bacteria
Description: partial 16S ribosomal RNA
Rfam family: Bacterial small subunit ribosomal RNA
Source: RNAcentral
AUUGAACGCUGGCGGCAUGCCUUACACAUGCAAGUCGAACGGUAACAGGGAGCUUGCUCCGCUGACGAGUGGCGAACGGGUGAGUAAUGUAUCGGAACGUACCUUUUAGUGGGGGAUAACGUAGCGAAAGUUACGCUAAUACCGCAUAUUCUCUGAGGAGGAAAGCAGGGGACCUUCGGGCCUUGCGCAAAUAGAGCGGCUGAUAUCAGAUUAGCUGGUUGGUGAGGUAAAGGCUCACCAAGGCGACGAUCUGUAGCGGGUCUGAGAGGAUGAUCCGCCACACUGGAACUGAGACACGGUCCAGACUCCUACGGGAGGCAGCAGUGGGGAAUUUUGGACAAUGGGGGCAACCCUGAUCCAGCCAUGCCGCGUGAGUGAAGAAGGCCUUCGGGUUGUAAAGCUCUCUCGGCCGGGAAAAAAUCGCAUGGGCUAAUACCCUGUGUGGAUGAUGGUACCGGAAUAAGAAGCACCGGCUAACUACGUGCCAGCAGCCGCAGUAA